This 450-nucleotide ribosomal RNA is filed under the name uncultured bacterium. RNAcentral's name for it is "bacterial SSU rRNA". It matches the Rfam family "Bacterial small subunit ribosomal RNA", at positions 328 to 792 of the family's 1533-position model. The record is from RNAcentral.
CUCUGUGACUCCUACGGGAGGCAGCAGUGGGGAAUAUUGCACAAUGGGCGCAAGCCUGAUGCAGCAACGCCGUGUGAGUGAAGAAGGUUUUCGGAUCGUAAAACUCUGUCCUAAGGGAAGAAACAAAUGACGGUACCUUAGGAGGAAGCCCCGGCUAACUACGUGCCAGCAGCCGCGGUAAUACGUAGGGGGCAAGCGUUAUCCGGAAUCACUGGGCGUAAAGGGUGCGUAGGCGGCUUAGCAAGCCAGGGGUGAAAGGCAUUGGCUCAACCAAUGUAAGCCUUUGGAACUGUUAAGCUUGAGUGCAGGAGAGGUAAGUGGAAUUCCUAGUGUAGAGGUGAAAAUUCGUAGAUAUUAGGAGGAACACCAGUGGCGAAGGCGACUUACUGGACUGUAACUGACGCUGAUGCACGAAAGCGUGGGUAGCGAACAGGAUUAGAUACCCUGGAG